This 621-nucleotide ribosomal RNA is filed under the name uncultured Ascomycota. RNAcentral describes it as "eukaryotic LSU rRNA". The stretch from base 256 to 409 matches the Rfam family "5.8S ribosomal RNA". The record is from RNAcentral. Lineage: Eukaryota; Fungi; Ascomycota.
CUUGGUCAUUUAGAGGAAGUAAAAGUCGUAACAAGGUUUCCGUAGGUGAACCUGCGGAAGGAUCAUUACCUUUCAUGUCUUUAAUUAGGCAGUCGGGGGGCUUCGUAUGCGUUACAACCUAGGUUGCAUCGCCUGCGGCCCCUGUCUGAACCCGUGUCUUUGCGUACUACUUGUUUCCUUGGUGGGCUUGCCUGCCAAAUGGACUACAUUAAACCCUUGUAAUUGCAAUCAGCGUCUGAAAAUAAUAAUAAUUACAACUUUCAACAACGGAUCUCUUGGCUCUGGCAUCGAUGAAGAACGCAGCGAAAUGCGAUAAGUAGUGUGAAUUGCAGAAUUCAGUGAAUCAUCGAAUCUUUGAACGCACAUUGCGCCCCUUGGUAUUCCAUGGGGCAUGCCUGUUCGAGCGUCAUUUGUACCCUCAAGCCAUGCUUGGUGUUGGGUGAUUGUCUACUCGCUUGGGUAGACUCGCCUCAAAUUCAUUGGCAGCUGGUAUUCUGGUUUUAAGCGUAGCACAAUUACGUUUCAUUCUGGGGAGCCCGCGUCCACGAAGCACAUUAUCACGUUUGACCUCGGAUCAGGUAGGGAUACCCGCUGAACUUAAGCAUAUCAAUAAGCGGAGGA